GCAGUGGUGGUCUAGUGGUAGAAUUCUCACCUCCUAUGAGGGGGACCUGGGCUUGAUUCCCAGCCAAUGCA
RNAcentral lists this transfer RNA (71 nucleotides) under Loxodonta africana (African savanna elephant). It matches the Rfam family "tRNA". From Rfam's summary of the family: Transfer RNA (tRNA) molecules are approximately 80 nucleotides in length. Their secondary structure includes four short double-helical elements and three loops (D, anti-codon, and T loops). Lineage: Eukaryota; Metazoa; Chordata; Mammalia; Proboscidea; Elephantidae. The record is from Rfam by way of RNAcentral.